GACGAACGCUGGCGGCGUGCCUAAUACAUGCAAGUAGAACGCUGAAGGAGGAGCUUGCUCUUCUGGAUGAGUUGCGAACGGGUGAGUAACGCGUAGGUAACCUGCCUGGUAGCGGGGGAUAACUAUUGGAAACGAUAGCUAAUACCGCAUAACAGUAGAUGUUGCAUGACAUUUGCUUAAAAGGUGCAAUUGCACCACUACCAGAUGGACCUGCGUUGUAUUAGCUAGUUGGUGGGGUAACGGCUCACCAAGGCGACGAUACAUAGCCGACCUGAGAGGGUGAUCGGCCACACUGGGACUGAGACACGGCCCAGACGCCUACGGGAGGCAGCAGUAGGGAAUCUUCGGCAAUGGACGGAAGUCUGACCGAGCAACGCCGCGUGAGUGAAGAAGGUUUUCGGAUCGUAAAGCUCUGUUGUAAGAGAAGAACGAGUGUGAGAGUGGAAAGUUCACAAUGUGACGGUAUCUUACCAGAAAGGGACGGCUAACUACGUG
This 495-nucleotide ribosomal RNA is filed under the name uncultured bacterium. RNAcentral's name for it is "partial 16S ribosomal RNA". It matches the Rfam family "Bacterial small subunit ribosomal RNA", at positions 28 to 507 of the family's 1533-position model. The record is from RNAcentral.